GAUGAACGCUGGCGGCGUGCCUAAUACAUGCAAGUCGAGCGAACAGACGAGGAGCUUGCUCCUCUGAUGUUAGCGGCGGACGGGUGAGUAACACGUGGAUAACCUACCUAUAAGACUGGGAUAACUUCGGGAAACCGGAGCUAAUACCGGAUAACAUGUUGAACCGCAUGGUUCAACAGUGAAAGACGGUCUUGCUGUCACUUAUAGAUGGAUCCGCGCCGCAUUAGCUAGUUGGUAAGGUAACGGCUUACCAAGGCAACGAUGCGUAGCCGACCUGAGAGGGUGAUCGGCCACACUGGAACUGAGACACGGUCCAGACUCCUACGGGAGGCGGCAGUAGGGAAUCUUCCGCAAUGGGCGAAAGCCUGACGGAGCAACGCCGCGUGAGUGAAGAAGGUCUUCGGAUCGUAAAACUCUGUUAUUAGGGAAGAACAAAUGUGUAAGUAACUAUGCACGUCUUGACGGUACCUAAUCAGAAAGCCACGGCUAACUACGUG
This 497-nucleotide ribosomal RNA is filed under the name uncultured bacterium. RNAcentral's name for it is "partial 16S ribosomal RNA". It matches the Rfam family "Bacterial small subunit ribosomal RNA", at positions 28 to 507 of the family's 1533-position model. The record is from RNAcentral.